Myotis brandtii (Brandt's bat) is the source of this 72-nucleotide non-coding RNA. Lineage: Eukaryota; Metazoa; Chordata; Mammalia; Chiroptera; Vespertilionidae. The record is from Rfam.
GCCCUCGUUGCUCAGUUGGUUAGAGCAUCGCCCAGAUACGCCAAGGUUGUGGGUUCGAUCCUGCUCAGGGCA